RNAcentral lists this microRNA precursor (145 nucleotides) under Gossypium hirsutum (cotton). Its description in RNAcentral is "MIR7502 microRNA precursor family". It matches the Rfam family "MIR7502 microRNA precursor family". Lineage: Eukaryota; Viridiplantae; Streptophyta; Magnoliopsida; Malvales; Malvaceae. The record is from Rfam by way of RNAcentral.
UAUUAAAAAGUUCAUCUAUUUGAUCUAUUAAAAACUAGCGUGGUUAACAAAAUAAUCAAACAGUAACCUAUAGUGUACCACGUGUAUCUCAUGCUAAUGUACAUGAACUAAUUUUUUAAUAGUAAAAAUAGUUAAAAUUUUAAUA